Molecule: long non-coding RNA, 607 nt
Filed under: Chloebia gouldiae (Gouldian finch)
Lineage: Eukaryota; Metazoa; Chordata; Aves; Passeriformes; Passeridae
Description: Erythrura gouldiae (Gouldian finch) lncRNA (ENSEGOG00005012193.1)
Source: RNAcentral
CCGAGCCGCAGCCGGCGGGCGCCCAGGCACCGGGACAGCCCGCGGGCAGCGGCCGGGAGCGGCCGUCACUCGCUCAUCCCUGCGGAUCCUUGCCUGGCGACAAUUCCCGAAACAUGAUUACCAUCAAAAGGAAAAAAACCCUCAGGCACCAGCUAUGCUAAGCAGCUGCAGUAUGGAGCUUGGGAAAAACAUUUUGUGAGGAAGAUCACUGAUCUGGAAACAAACUCCACAUGUGCAGAUGUGCAUGGAAACAUUCUCUUUAAAAAGAGUCUUCAAGAUGGUUCCUCUGCCCUGAUAAGUCUCUCCUCCCUGCUGGAGUUACCUUCUUCUUAAAGAUUAGACAUGUUCCAAAGUGCCUGAACACUGGUGUGGAUUGGUCCCUCUUGGAUGCACCACACAAAGAAGCUGGAGAGCUGAGCACUGAAUUGUUGCAGGUCGCAGCAAGGGCAGCACUGCCAUAACUUGAAAACCUUCUCCUGCCUGGGGUCACAUGAAACCCCCUGUCCUGCCAGCAGCCCGGGUUCCUCAAACGGUGCAGGUGCUGUGCUUCCUGCAGGCUCCCUCCUCCAGCCGCAGGCAGGGCACGGACAGCAGCACGGCAGCAUCU